RNAcentral lists this long non-coding RNA (1080 nucleotides) under Calidris pygmaea (Spoon-billed sandpiper). RNAcentral's name for it is "lncRNA (ENSCPGG00000010064.1)". Lineage: Eukaryota; Metazoa; Chordata; Aves; Charadriiformes; Scolopacidae. The record is from RNAcentral.
GAGGGACUCUGGCCCAUCUCCCGUCAGGCAGCAAAUGACUCAUUGCAUAACAACUUCAGUAAAAGAGUAUUUUUUUCUUCUUCUUCCUUUCCCAUGUUCUGCAGUGAAACAAAGAGCUGAAUUUUCCAAAAAGCCACCAGGGCUCUUUUUCGGGAGCUUCACCUCCUAAGGCCACUGAGAAAGUUACCACCUGAAUAAAUGUCAUCAGCUGUCACCCUGGUAGGGAUGGAGACCAAAAGCAUGGCUGCUUCUUCGAGGGGUACAGACAUGGUGAGCAGCUGGUGUGUCGCUGGUGAGUUGUUAUUCACCAGCCUGAUUGACCCAUUCCUGCCAUGUGUGGACCAAGCAGUGCUGGAUCCUGCAGGAAUACGGCAGCCCUGGAUGCUCACCAACCUCUGACCACCCAGACCUUCGUAUCCCCCUUGUCCAUGCCAGCUAGGGAGGUAGCGCACAGCAAGGACAUCACCACUGUGUAGCCUCCCAAAGCCCUGCUGGCUGGAAGAGCAUUUUCCCAACGAGAAGAAACAAAUAGAAAAGUGCCGUCACGCUUCCUACAUCGCUUCCAACUGAGUGACUAGUAAUGAGCACCGUGUUUGCGGAAAGUUGACCAAUUCUGCUGAGUUUUGCCCGCUGCCGUACUUCACCAGAUGCUAUUGCACAGGUCUUCUGCGCUACAGGAGGCAGAGAUUGCCUGUCCCACCGUGUGUCCUUCCUUACCAGUUCACAAAGCAGAUGAUAAAUAACUAAUCAAAGAAUUAAGCUGGAAUGAGUGGAAGUUAGCGAAACACGAGCCAUGCCUUGCUGGCCCUUCGCAGGAUCCUUUUGCCAGAGAAGAAGAGAAAUGCCACAGCGUGACAGAUCCUCCUUCCCGGCCGGGGCUGUGUGUGUGAGCUGGGGGACUGUGCCUGUGGCCGGGCACACAGGGUCUGGACAGACAGACAGACAGCACGGUUGCUGGGGGAGAGGGAAAGGAUGGGAUUUCCAUCUCCCGCCCGCACUCAGCUUUUCCAGGCAUCUGUCUGUGUUUAGACCUGAUAAACAUGAAGUGUGCUGAAGCUCAUCCUACGGGAGAUGCACAGG